AACGAACGCUGGCGGCAUGCCUAACACAUGCAAGUCGAACGAGACCUUCGGGUCUAGUGGCGCACGGGUGCGUAACGCGUGGGAAUCUGCCCUUGGGUUCGGAAUAACAGCGAGAAUUUGCUGCUAAUACCGGAUGAUGACGUAAGUCCAAAGAUUUAUCGCCCAAGGAUGAGCCCGCGUAGGAUUAGCUAGUUGGUGAGGUAAAGGCUCACCAAGGCGACGAUCCUUAGCUGGUCUGAGAGGAUGAUCAGCCACACUGGGACUGAGACACGGCCCAGACUCCUACGGGAGGCAGCAGUGGGGAAUAUUGGACAAUGGGCGAAAGCCUGAUCCAGCAAUGCCGCGUGAGUGAUGAAGGCCUUAGGGUUGUAAAGCUCUUUUACCCGGGAGUGAUAAUGACAGUACCGGGAGAAUAAAGCUCCGGCCUAAACUCCGUGCCAGCAGCCGCGGU
This 451-nucleotide ribosomal RNA is filed under the name uncultured bacterium. RNAcentral's name for it is "bacterial SSU rRNA". It matches the Rfam family "Bacterial small subunit ribosomal RNA", at positions 29 to 521 of the family's 1533-position model. The record is from RNAcentral.